RNAcentral lists this ribosomal RNA (524 nucleotides) under uncultured bacterium. RNAcentral describes it as "bacterial SSU rRNA". It matches the Rfam family "Bacterial small subunit ribosomal RNA", at positions 985 to 1509 of the family's 1533-position model. The record is from RNAcentral.
AGUCCAGCGAACUUGGCAGAGAUGCCUUGGUGCCUUCGGGAACGCUGAGACAGGUGCUGCAUGGCUGUCGUCAGCUCGUGUUGUGAAAUGUUGGGUUAAGUCCCGNAACGAGCGCAACCCUUAUCCUUUGUUGCCAGCGAUUCGGUCGGGAACUCAAAGGAGACUGCCGGUGAUAAACCGGAGGAAGGUGGGGAUGACGUCAAGUCAUCAUGGCCCUUACGAGUAGGGCUACACACGUGCUACAAUGGCGCAUACAAAGAGAAGCGACCUCGCGAGAGCAAGCGGACCUCAUAAAGUGCGUCGUAGUCCGGAUCGGAGUCUGCAACUCGACUCCGUGAAGUCGGAAUCGCUAGUAAUCGUGGAUCAGAAUGCCACGGUGAAUACGUUCCCGGGCCUUGUACGCACCGCCCGUCACACCAUGGGAGUGGGUUGCAAAAGAAGUAGGUAGCUUAACCUUCGGGAGGGCGCUUACCACUUUGUGAUUCAUGACUGGGGUGAAGUCGUAACAAGGUAGGCGUAGCGAG